AUGGCGGCAAUGAAGCCAGCAUGGGGGAAUCCUAAGGGCAUUCACCCCAGAUCAGCUGGAGAAACCCUAUUCAUCGUUGAUUUCAUGACUAAAUGUGAUAGUGAGAUAGCCCUCAAUGGCACUCCGUGGAUGGUAGGAAAACAUGUUGUCUUGCUACAGAAGCUCAAUCCAACUCUCAAACCAUGUUUUGACAAGAUGGACAUUUGGGUGAGGGUGGUUGAUUUGCCCUUCGAUUGGAUGAACGAUCGAAAGGGAAAAAGAACCGCUUGUCUGGGUGGGACUGUUGAUAAGGUGGACGUGGGUGGCCUCGUCGGGGAGUGUGUACUCUAA
This 330-nucleotide ribosomal RNA is filed under the name Triticum aestivum (bread wheat). RNAcentral's name for it is "partial small subunit ribosomal RNA". The record is from RNAcentral. Lineage: Eukaryota; Viridiplantae; Streptophyta; Magnoliopsida; Poales; Poaceae.